CCUACGGGGGGCAGCAGUGGGGAAUAUUGGACAAUGGGCGAAAGCCUGAUCCAGCCAUGCCGCGUGUGUGAAGAAGGCCUUCGGGUUGUAAAGCACUUUCAGUGGGGAAGAAAGCCUUGGGGCUAAUACCCUCGAGGAAGGACAUCACCCACAGAAGAAGCACCGGCUAACUCCGUGCCAGCAGCCGCGGUAAUACGGAGGGUGCGAGCGUUAAUCGGAAUUACUGGGCGUAAAGCGCGCGUAGGCGGUCUGAUAAGCCGGUUGUGAAAGCCCCGGGCUCAACCUGGGAACGGCAUCCGGAACUGUCAGGCUAGAGUGCAGGAGAGGAAGGUAGAAUUCCCGGUGUAGCGGUGAAAUGCGUAGAGAUCGGGAGGAAUACCAGUGGCGAAGGCGGCCUUCUGGACUGACACUGACGCUGAGGUGCGAAAGCGUGGGUAGCAAACAGGAUUAGAUACCCUGGUAUC
This 464-nucleotide ribosomal RNA is filed under the name Vreelandella stevensii. Its description in RNAcentral is "partial 16S ribosomal RNA". It matches the Rfam family "Bacterial small subunit ribosomal RNA", at positions 338 to 794 of the family's 1533-position model. The record is from RNAcentral. Lineage: Bacteria; Pseudomonadati; Pseudomonadota; Gammaproteobacteria; Oceanospirillales; Halomonadaceae.